GACGAACCUGACAAACGUUAUUCGGAAUUACUGGGCGUAAAGCGCGUGUAGGCGGCUCUGCAAGUCGGAUGUGAAAUCCCACGGCUCAACCAUGGAAGUGCAUUCGAAACUGCAGGGCUAGAGUCCUGGAGAGGAAGGUGGAAUGCUUGGUGUAGAGGUGAAAUUCGUAGAUAUCAAGCGGAACACCGGUGGCGAAGGCGGCCUUCUGGACAGUGACUGACGCUGAGACGCGAAAGCGUGGGGAGCAAAACGG
This 253-nucleotide ribosomal RNA is filed under the name uncultured bacterium. RNAcentral describes it as "partial 16S ribosomal RNA". It matches the Rfam family "Bacterial small subunit ribosomal RNA", at positions 524 to 776 of the family's 1533-position model. The record is from RNAcentral.